This 2926-nucleotide ribosomal RNA is filed under the name Escherichia coli. RNAcentral describes it as "bacterial LSU rRNA". It matches the Rfam family "Bacterial large subunit ribosomal RNA". The record is from RNAcentral. RNAcentral also lists the same sequence under 1 other name. Lineage: Bacteria; Pseudomonadati; Pseudomonadota; Gammaproteobacteria; Enterobacterales; Enterobacteriaceae.
GGGUUGUGAGGUUAAGCGACUAAGCGUACACGGUGGAUGCCCUGGCAGUCAGAGGCGAUGAAGGACGUGCUAAUCUGCGAUAAGCGUCGGUAAGGUGAUAUGAACCGUUAUAACCGGCGAUUUCCGAAUGGGGAAACCCAGUGUGUUUCGACACACUAUCAUUAACUGAAUCCAUAGGUUAAUGAGGCGAACCGGGGGAACUGAAACAUCUAAGUACCCCGAGGAAAAGAAAUCAACCGAGAUUCCCCCAGUAGCGGCGAGCGAACGGGGAGCAGCCCAGAGCCUGAAUCAGUGUGUGUGUUAGUGGAAGCGUCUGGAAAGGCGCGCGAUACAGGGUGACAGCCCCGUACACAAAAAUGCACAUACUGUGAGCUCGAUGAGUAGGGCGGGACACGUGGUAUCCUGUCUGAAUAUGGGGGGACCAUCCUCCAAGGCUAAAUACUCCUGACUGACCGAUAGUGAACCAGUACCGUGAGGGAAAGGCGAAAAGAACCCCGGCGAGGGGAGUGAAAAAGAACCUGAAACCGUGUACGUACAAGCAGUGGGAGCACGCUUCGGCGUGUGACUGCGUACCUUUUGUAUAAUGGGUCAGCGACUUAUAUUCUGUAGCAAGGUUAACCGAAUAGGGGAGCCGAAGGGAAACCGAGUCUUAACUGGGCGUUAAGUUGCAGGGUAUAGACCCGAAACCCGGUGAUCUAGCCAUGGGCAGGUUGAAGGUUGGGUAACACUAACUGGAGGACCGAACCGACUAAUGUUGAAAAAUUAGCGGAUGACUUGUGGCUGGGGGUGAAAGGCCAAUCAAACCGGGAGAUAGCUGGUUCUCCCCGAAAGCUAUUUAGGUAGCGCCUCGUGAAUUCAUCUCCGGGGGUAGAGCACUGUUUCGGCAAGGGGGUCAUCCCGACUUACCAACCCGAUGCAAACUGCGAAUACCGGAGAAUGUUAUCACGGGAGACACACGGCGGGUGCUAACGUCCGUCGUGAAGAGGGAAACAACCCAGACCGCCAGCUAAGGUCCCAAAGUCAUGGUUAAGUGGGAAACGAUGUGGGAAGGCCCAGACAGCCAGGAUGUUGGCUUAGAAGCAGCCAUCAUUUAAAGAAAGCGUAAUAGCUCACUGGUCGAGUCGGCCUGCGCGGAAGAUGUAACGGGGCUAAACCAUGCACCGAAGCUGCGGCAGCGACACUAUGUGUUGUUGGGUAGGGGAGCGUUCUGUAAGCCUGUGAAGGUGUGCUGUGAGGCAUGCUGGAGGUAUCAGAAGUGCGAAUGCUGACAUAAGUAACGAUAAAGCGGGUGAAAAGCCCGCUCGCCGGAAGACCAAGGGUUCCUGUCCAACGUUAAUCGGGGCAGGGUGAGUCGACCCCUAAGGCGAGGCCGAAAGGCGUAGUCGAUGGGAAACAGGUUAAUAUUCCUGUACUUGGUGUUACUGCGAAGGGGGGACGGAGAAGGCUAUGUUGGCCGGGCGACGGUUGUCCCGGUUUAAGCGUGUAGGCUGGUUUUCCAGGCAAAUCCGGAAAAUCAAGGCUGAGGCGUGAUGACGAGGCACUACGGUGCUGAAGCAACAAAUGCCCUGCUUCCAGGAAAAGCCUCUAAGCAUCAGGUAACAUUAAAUCGUACCCCAAACCGACACAGGUGGUCAGGUAGAGAAUACCAAGGCGCUUGAGAGAACUCGGGUGAAGGAACUAGGCAAAAUGGUGCCGUAACUUCGGGAGAAGGCACGCUGAUAUGUAGGUGAAGUCCCUCGCGGAUGGAGCUGAAAUCAGUCGAAGAUACCAGCUGGCUGCAACUGUUUAUUAAAAACACAGCACUGUGCAAACACGAAAGUGGACGUAUACGGUGUGACGCCUGCCCGGUGCCGGAAGGUUAAUUGAUGGGGUUAGCGGUAACGCGAAGCUCUUGAUCGAAGCCCCGGUAAACGGCGGCCGUAACUAUAACGGUCCUAAGGUAGCGAAAUUCCUUGUCGGGUAAGUUCCGACCUGCACGAAUGGCGUAAUGAUGGCCAGGCUGUCUCCACCCGAGACUCAGUGAAAUUGAACUCGCUGUGAAGAUGCAGUGUACCCGCGGCAAGACGGAAAGACCCCGUGAACCUUUACUAUAGCUUGACACUGAACAUUGAGCCUUGAUGUGUAGGAUAGGUGGGAGGCUUUGAAGUGUGGACGCCAGUCUGCAUGGAGCCGACCUUGAAAUACCACCCUUUAAUGUUUGAUGUUCUAACGUUGACCCGUAAUCCGGGUUGCGGACAGUGUCUGGUGGGUAGUUUGACUGGGGCGGUCUCCUCCUAAAGAGUAACGGAGGAGCACGAAGGUUGGCUAAUCCUGGUCGGACAUCAGGAGGUUAGUGCAAUGGCAUAAGCCAGCUUGACUGCGAGCGUGACGGCGCGAGCAGGUGCGAAAGCAGGUCAUAGUGAUCCGGUGGUUCUGAAUGGAAGGGCCAUCGCUCAACGGAUAAAAGGUACUCCGGGGAUAACAGGCUGAUACCGCCCAAGAGUUCAUAUCGACGGCGGUGUUUGGCACCUCGAUGUCGGCUCAUCACAUCCUGGGGCUGAAGUAGGUCCCAAGGGUAUGGCUGUUCGCCAUUUAAAGUGGUACGCGAGCUGGGUUUAGAACGUCGUGAGACAGUUCGGUCCCUAUCUGCCGUGGGCGCUGGAGAACUGAGGGGGGCUGCUCCUAGUACGAGAGGACCGGAGUGGACGCAUCACUGGUGUUCGGGUUGUCAUGCCAAUGGCACUGCCCGGUAGCUAAAUGCGGAAGAGAUAAGUGCUGAAAGCAUCUAAGCACGAAACUUGCCCCGAGAUGAGUUCUCCCUGACUCCUUGAGAGUCCUGAAGGAACGUUGAAGACGACGACGUUGAUAGGCCGGGUGUGUAAGCGCAGCGAUGCGUUGAGCUAACCGGUACUAAUGAACCGUGAGGCUUAACCUUACAACGCCGAAG